Non-coding RNA from Caenorhabditis elegans, 150 nucleotides. NCBI's taxonomy places the organism in Eukaryota, Metazoa, Nematoda, Chromadorea, Rhabditida, Rhabditidae. The record is from Ensembl.
ACUUUUUCGAAAUUCAAAAGUGGCAUUUUAAAUGGUAUGGAAUGUUAUGAUACCAAUAACAAAUAAUAUCGAAUGCUAAAAAACUUAAACACACAAGAGUGUACGAACAAAAGAGAUGAGAAUUUCAAAAUACCUUAGCUUUGCUGUAAG